This 86-nucleotide transfer RNA is filed under the name Thermoplasmata archaeon. Its description in RNAcentral is "tRNA-Ser". It matches the Rfam family "tRNA". Rfam says of the family: Transfer RNA (tRNA) molecules are approximately 80 nucleotides in length. Their secondary structure includes four short double-helical elements and three loops (D, anti-codon, and T loops). RNAcentral also lists the same sequence under 2 other names. Lineage: Archaea; Methanobacteriati; Thermoplasmatota; Thermoplasmata. The record is from RNAcentral.
GCCGAGGUCGCCUAGCUCGGUAGGGCGCUAGCCUGGAGAGCUAGUGGGUCGCAAGGCCCUCGGGAGUUCAAAUCUCCCCCUCGGCG